CCGAGCAUGGAUUAAUGAUCACCAACACGAGGGGAUCAUAAGGUAUGAUGAAAGCUUUAUAGGAAUCACGUCGAGACGGGCGCAAGCAUGAGAUGUUAACGGGUCAAUAAGAGGCAAGGAAUCGGAUGCGAGCACGGACGCAUAAGGUAAGUGAUUUCUGUAAUCACUUCUUAGUUCGAUUAUGUAAUAUGAUGUUUUAAGUA
This 203-nucleotide long non-coding RNA is filed under the name Helianthus annuus (common sunflower). RNAcentral describes it as "sRNA HanXRQr2_Chr11g0478931". The record is from RNAcentral. Lineage: Eukaryota; Viridiplantae; Streptophyta; Magnoliopsida; Asterales; Asteraceae.